UUUAAAGUUAUGAUUUAUUGAUAAAAUAUAAAAAAAUAUGUUUUAUUGAUAAAAUAUAACAAGUGAAUAUACUCGUAUUAUACAAAACUUUUACAUCUCUUAUAUCACAAAGGUUUAAAGUCUAUGACUGUAUUGUUAUUUUUACCUAUCAACUUAAACUUAAUAUAAUCAAUUAAUAUUAUUAUUAUUAUUUUAUGAUAUGGUUCCAUUUGGCAUGUCGGUAACGUCUUGAGCGCAAACACGGUUUUUAAGUGUUUACAGAUAUGUACUAUAAUAACAUAAAUGCUGUUAUAAAAAAAGGUGCACAUGAAAGAAGUGAAACUUCUUUUGCGGUGUGUAGCAUUGUAGUUUUCUUCAUUUUUCAAACUUAAUCAAAUUUAUCUUGUAAUAGGGAAGGCUUUGUAUAAGAGAAACGACCUAGCUCGCUUUGUCCUUUCCCUCUCUCCACAGUCUAAUGGUUUGCGAGACGCUGUCUACUUUCUCUUCUUUCUAGUCUUAAUCUUUUUUCUAGCCGUAACGAAUCUGUCUCGAGGUAUAUUUUAAUGAAGUUUCACUUCAGAAAAAUAAAUAACAUUAGUUUGAAAAGAAGUUGUUGCCGGUAUUCGAUGACUAUCGAGCGAGUCCUUAGGUUUUACUUAAUAAUAUUUUUGUGAUAAUUUAAAAUACCGCUCUGUAAAUAUUUCAGAAACUAAACUGAUAACACCGAUGGCCUUGCAAUGUAAUAGUUUAUAUGACAUUCAAUAGGUGUUGCUAAACUAAAUAUAAAGAUAGUUCACAUGUUACUGCCAUCUACAGGAGCAGUGAGAAACUAAUAACAAGCCAUCUAGUGGCCGACGCCCGUAAGCAGUGGUUCGUGAAAUGCUGUCUACCUAUUUUCUCUUCCUAAAUUGUAUCUUUUCUCUCUAGCCGUAACGAAUCUGUCGCGAGUUAAAUUUCACUCUCAACACGUCUAAAGAAUUUUCACUUCAAAAACAAAAAUAUUUAUUUUACAAUUUAAGUAAUUAAUAUAUACACUUCGAUAACCUCUACACUUAAUUGAGUAACAGAUAACAGCAUAUUUGGGAACUACACAGAAUGGCAACGUUUAAGCAUUUGUAGUUAUAAAUUCAAAAAAAAUAUCUCUUGUUUUAACUAUUGAGUAUACAACAUGUAACAUAAUUAACGCACACCCUAAAAGUAAUUUGUUCAGAAUCGGAAUCUGGAUCGAUUUUGAUUGUUUUCAUGUACCAAUUUUUUUUUUAAAUUUAGUUAAAACUAAGUAAAUUACAGUCACCCUACACAGCUAGCUAAACAGUUCAUAGAAACGAAAAUGGAACGUAAGUCAGGGUAUUAAGACUUUUUAAAAUGAAAUAUCUAAUUAGUAAAAAAAUAUAUUAUUUAAUUAAAUAAAUCUGAUACUUAUUUCAAGGCUAAUAGUCUAUUACAAAAUAAAAUACCUACGCACACAAUACCAACAGCGACCGCCGGCACACAGCAACACUACAAUACAUAAAAGAAAACCACGUAAUACAAAAAUAAUUACUAUCCCUUUCUUUCGUCGGCUUAAUAUUCAUAAAAUAAACGGCAGGCUAAUCCCGAUGCGACGCGGUUGCGUCGGCGGUGAUCAAAGAAAAAUCUAAACAACGAAGUCAACAAAAUAUUUUUGACAAGUCAGUCAUGCCGCGUCCACCUUAUCGAUAAGAGGUCAAGUGAUAGUGCAAAUAAAAUAUCUCCCGUAUUUCGCUGUCUUUUCGGUCAGUGACCUCCUAGAUCAGCUGAUUUGACGCCUCUCGACUUUUUUUUGUGGGGGCGAAUUAAAUCGCUAGUUUAUAACACACAGACAAUAAGUGCCGAAGAACUAAAGAAUAAGAUAAUAACCGCCUUUGAUAAAGUGAAAAGUGACAUUGCAGUAUUAUCUAAAAUAAAACAACAAAUACGAAAACGGUCAUUAAAGUGCAUUGAACGAGCGGCGCGGCGAGUAGGUGUCUGUGUGUGCGUGCGCAGCGGAGUGUGAAUCGGUGACCAUUUUAUUUCCACGAAAUUGGAAUAACUAAUUUCACAAAUAAUCAAUGUUAACGCACAUAUAAAUAAUAUUUGGUGUAUGCAUAGCGUUUAUACUAUUAAAGUCUAAUUGGGGUGUUUGAGGGUGUGCGUUAAAUAUGUUACAUGUUGUAUUUAAUGAUUUGUUUUGUUGGUUUGCUUAAAUCACACUCAUCGUAGUUUUCAAUAACUUUUAACUCAUUUUUAAACAUGUGCAUACAAGAUUUCAUACGACUCUUGAUUUAUCAUUUUUUCCAAAGUUUCACAAACUUCGUCAAUUGAAGGUCUAUUAUCUCUAUUAUCUGACAGACAUCUCUUAGCUAAUUCAUAAAUGCCCUGUGCCCUGGUCCACCUUUCAACAACCAUAUCUAAAAGCUGUGUGAUGUCUUUAUUCUCGUUCAUUACUUGUUCAACAUAAUCUUUUAUAUUUAAAUUUCCAUUGCUAUCCACAACAAUUGGCUUCAAGCCUGUAAGCAAUUCAAGUAGAACUAUACCAAAGCUGUAAACAUCCGUUUUUUUUGUUAAAGUCCCUUUUAUUGCUUCCGGAGGCAUGUAGGCUGAUGUCCCCAUCAUCAUACUAGUUACACGUGUAGAUUCUAGUUGCUUCGCCAGGCCAAAGUCACAAAGCUGAAAAAAUCAACAGAAGAUUUGUUUCAAUACACCCAGCAAUCAUUAACAAAAAAAAUUAACAAUAAGUAAAAAAAAAUUACCAUCGGUUUGCAAUCUUUAGUCAAUAAAAUAUUAGCACUUUUCACAUCACCGUGUAUGUAAAAAGUUGUGAUAGGGCUGACAUCUCCAUUUACUUCAAUCGGCUUUACAGUGUUAUGCACAUACUUUAGUCCCUCUGCUGUCCCCGAAAUUAUCUCGAGUCUCUGGUUUUCGUUCAGUACUUUUGCAGCAAUUUUUUCCAUUAGAGAACCACCAUCUAUGUACUUGCAAACUAUACAUGGCGUCGGUCCAUCAAUAGAAUAUCCAAAAAUAGGUACUAUGUUUUUAUGUCUUAAUUGCGAUAAAGAUUUGACUUCAGCGUUAAAUAACCUUAUAGCCACAUCAUGCUUGUAAUUAAACUGAAGGUAACACUUUACUUUCUUAACAGCCAACUGUCCAUAUCUAUUGUGAGUACCAACAAAUACUUCACCAAAACCACCUCCUCCUAUCUUCCCAGAUAGUCCUGUCCGACCUUCAUUAAGGUCUUCAGAAAAAUUAUUAGUAAUCGCAGCUAAUUGAUUAUAAUCGAAUGAUAUCAAAUUUUCGUCUUCUAAUAUUUUUGAAUCUAUAACACUGCGCAUGCUAUCGUCAGAUAAAAUUGAUAUGUUGUUGCUAGAUAGUGAUCGUCUUGUUUCCUUUAGUUCAGUAGAUUGUGUCGUACCGUACGACUGUGAGGAAUUAACUGAUGUGCCCAUCAAAGCAGAAAUAUUUGGCAGUUCUUCUGUUCGUAACGUUGACCUGUAUGCUGAAUUUCUUUCAUAAGAUAUUACUUGUGCUGUGGUUUUGUGUCCAAAUGAUUUUGAAUCUUUAGGACCGUUACUAAUAUUGUCAUUACUAAAGAUUAUCAAAGGGUCGGCAGAUUUCAGUUGUUUAGUUGUUCUGUUAUGUAAAUCUGGAUGUUGAUUUGUAUUUUUAGUAUCCAAAUUUUGGUUGUCCUUUAAAUUAACGUCACUGCCAUCUAAUGGCAUACUCUCUCCAUUCAGCAUAAAUGUUACAUUUGUAUCUAUUUUCGCAGCAGGACCUUCUAACGGUCUAGGAGGUAGAGGCUCUGGAAAGUGCACAGAAAAUGUUUUUGAAAAAAUAUGUGUGUAAUAGUUCAGGGAAAAUUGUACACAAACAACCUAGUUCUAUUAGGCUAUUUGUAACAAAUAUAAAUGAUACGGUUACAGAUGUCGCAAUGUCGUCAGUGAUAUUUUCAUUCAAAUUAGUUAGGGGUCAUUCACAUUCAUUCACGCCCGUACGUCCCGGCCCCUGUAGGUAGCGACCUCCCCCCGGUGAACGUCAAGGGGCGACGUGAGGGGGUAGAGGCCGCGCGGCGCGCUACCAGCACUUUAGCGCGCUGCCGAGGUGUAAAUAGAGCGACCGGUUGGCGGUGUAUAACGUCCCGACCCGGCAGGCUGGUUCUGGUCCAGCGGGGUAUACCGGGACACCAGCGGCACCGUCUGGGCGGCCUGACGGGCUGCCGUACCGAGACGGCCGACGUUUCAGAGCCUUCGAUUCGCCUCGAAGGCUCCGUCGGCUGGGCGUCCAUGGGGUGAACCGCGCCAUCUGGUUGUAGUGUUGACCGCGGUAAUCCUCCUACAUCAUCCCUCUUCUGGCCUCGGGAGGGGAUCGGACGUCGGGUGUAAGAGUGCAAGGGAGUCAUUUAGUGGGUGGGCCCUAAAAUCCUUGGGCCCGCGGUCUGUUCACAACACCAUGCAGAUCGUUGAGUCUCACAUACCCCGCGCACCCCUUAUGCGCGGGGGACCUCGUAGGAGGUUCGGAAGGCGGCCCGAAAAAAAAAAAAAAAAAGGCGUCAUUCACAUAUUUACAUCACAUGUUAAAAAGUCCCCUCUUCAUCUCCGGAAUGUGACACUAUAUGACAAGGGGCCGGGGGUCAAAACCUUUGUGACGUCAUACAUUAUGGUAUGAAUAAUAAACUCUUCGAUCAAUAAUAGUACUAGAUUACGGAUCAGGAACAAAAAUAAGACGCUCCAGUGGCCACGUUUGCAGACACGAAAACAUCUUCAUUUCUUAGAAAAAAGUUUAAUAAUGUUAACGACUUCAGUUUAUUAUAAACCUUAAUACUUAAACAUAAAGUUUAAUUACCAUUGCAAAAUAUAUGUAUUUAGGUCCUUUCGUCAGAAAAAGAAUAUUAUGGAAUAAAUUUAAAAUGUCACUUGAACAUAAAAAGUCAUCAGUACAAAAAUAUUUAUUCUAAAAUGAUACUUAAAGCCUAAUUUAUAAGGUUAAAAAUAUUUGUUUAAAAUUUCGUGCUUAUUGUAUUGUGGAACUAGAUGUAGUUCUUGGUAUUAUAUUUCAAUGCUCAGAACACAGUAAGUAUUGAAAGACAUAGAGUUGCAGAAUAUACAUAUUUGUUUUAGGUUUGUUUUGUAUGGUCGCAACUAUUUUUGACCGAUUCAAAAAAGUAGUAGAUAAUAUUUUACAUUGCCGCUAUUACAACAAAUAGGUGAUAAAAAAUAAAAUUGAAUGAAGUAAAAAAAAUAUGAAAGGAAACACGAAACAUGUUUUCCACGUAUUCUUUAUACAGAAGUAAUUAAAACAAUAAUGUAGGUUUAAUUACCUUUAAACAGAUUCAGUUUGUUAUAAAGCUGUCUUUUAGAAGUCAUUUUUAUAUGAGCGGUUUCUUUUUUACAAAUAUAAUGUAAUCUUAUAUCAA
This is a long non-coding RNA of Bombyx mori (domestic silkworm), 5386 nucleotides long. RefSeq lists it as uncharacterized. The transcript is spliced from 2 exons. NCBI's taxonomy places the organism in Eukaryota, Metazoa, Arthropoda, Insecta, Lepidoptera, Bombycidae. The record is from RefSeq and is a predicted model, not a curated record.